GACACCCAGGCAGGGUCUGAGCAGAGCCCCCGGCCUUCUCCUCCCCACAGGGCCGGGCAGCCUCUGCCUCAGGAGAAGGCACGGCCUGGUUCAGAGCCCCGAGAGCCUCUGCUGCCAUUUCCCCCAAGGCUGGCAGCUAAACAGCGUGUUUCAAGAAUGUGCUGUGCACUCCUGGAACUUCUAUCCUGAAUGCUGCUUCUGCACGAUAACUUCAUUACCUCAUGCCAUCUUCAGUGUCUGGCUCUUGAGCUUGGAGACAUGAGUGAGUGUUUUAAGUGAAUAUGAAUAUGUUUAAAGAUGAGUAUGUUUGAAU
Molecule: long non-coding RNA, 313 nt
Filed under: Cyanistes caeruleus (blue tit)
Lineage: Eukaryota; Metazoa; Chordata; Aves; Passeriformes; Paridae
Description: lncRNA (ENSCCEG00000021057.1)
Source: RNAcentral